GCCCCAAUCGUCUAGUCCGGUCCAGGAUAAAGGCCUCUCGCGCCUUUGACGUGAGUUCGAAUCUCACUUGGGGUA
Molecule: transfer RNA, 75 nt
Filed under: Candidatus Woesearchaeota archaeon
Lineage: Archaea; Nanobdellati; Candidatus Woesearchaeota
Description: tRNA-Glu
Rfam family: tRNA
About the family: Transfer RNA (tRNA) molecules are approximately 80 nucleotides in length. Their secondary structure includes four short double-helical elements and three loops (D, anti-codon, and T loops).
Source: RNAcentral